Molecule: long non-coding RNA, 749 nt
Organism: Juglans microcarpa x Juglans regia
Lineage: Eukaryota; Viridiplantae; Streptophyta; Magnoliopsida; Fagales; Juglandaceae
Exons: 2
Source: RefSeq, a predicted model, not a curated record
UCUCUCUCUCUCUCUCACUCCACCUUAAGUCGCCGUAGUUGUGGGUCAUGGAAUUUACAGUUCAAAAACUAAUGGCAACUGUUGUAAAACUAAUGGCAGCGGGUCGUAGAAACUGUGUUUGAAAAACUAAUUUCCUGUUCAAGAAUUUGUUCUUGUUUGUUUGAAACUGUGUUUAUGAUUUUGAUAGAAACCUGUUGUAAUUGAUUCUGUGAGUAUUGUGAUGUAAUAAGGAUUCGGUGGAAUUGUGAAUGACAGUUGUAAGAAUGAAAAUGAGAGACGUAGGAAAGUUGUUUGAUGAAAGAUUUUAAAGAGUCACAAGUUAAAAUCACAUUCAAACAAACUCCACUCAUUGCCUCAAUAUUUGCUUGGACACAGGGGCUAGAACAUAGACCUGAUGAUAUGUACCAGCCAAAUCCAUACAACACUACUACUAUUUUAGCAAGCUUUAUGGCUGAAGGAACGACAUGAUCAGUCAAGAACGUGUAAUGGCUGAAGAAGCAAAAUUUAAUGUUAUGGAAAAGAAGUACAAGGGAACAUUAAAAGUUUUAUUAUUGUCAUGGUUUUGUAUUGUUGUGGUUUGUGUUGUACUUAUUUUGUACCCAAACGAGAAUCAUGUAUGUCAAGUUAUGCUAAGAUCCCAUGGUUAUUAGCCCGUUCGUAAUUGCAUUUUUUAGUUGUUCAAAGAAGUUUGUUUGGAAUGUAUUUAGACAAUUUUUAAAUGUAAUGAAAGACUAAAUGUAUUACAUUUU